Molecule: long non-coding RNA, 541 nt
Organism: Medicago truncatula (barrel medic)
Lineage: Eukaryota; Viridiplantae; Streptophyta; Magnoliopsida; Fabales; Fabaceae
Exons: 2
Source: RefSeq, a predicted model, not a curated record
GUGCAAGAUAAGUUUAUCACUUGGCAGAUGACUUUGUGUGUUUGCACAUGCGCACAUGCACGGACGUAACGUGCAUGUUGAAUUUGGCAAGGUAAAAGAUUGAACAUAGGUGUUUGAGGUGUCAUAGAUAGAGAACAGGAAGAUGAAUAUGAUGUGAGCAAUGAAAUAGAACAAGCAUGGACUAGCCAUUGGACUUGAACAAUAAUAAGCCUAGUCACCUAGGAUUUGGUUGGAUAUACUCUAAGAGAAAGAAAGUCAUAGCCAGAGAUAAUUAGUUACAUUUUGAGUUGACAAGUUUUUGAACCUUGUGAUUUGUCAAUUGAUUCAGACUGGUGCAUUGAUGGAGAAGAGGAAGAUGAUCUGGUUUUGGCGGAACAUGAUGUGAAGAAAAGUAUAUGAUUGUUCUUGAUAGGGUAGAACCAUAUAAAAACUGUGUCUGUCAGUUUCUGCAUCUUAUAAGUACUAAAACUCAUUUUGUGUAUUUUGGUGUUGUCUUUAGUUAUAUGAUUUGUCCACAUUGGUGAAUAAUACCUUGAGAAUA